AUUCAACCCAUUGGGUAUAUUUUAAAAUAGGAAACGACAGUUAAUGUUAAUAUACCAAUACUUAAAAUAUGAUCCAAUUUAUCCUUUAAACUGUUUACAAAUAGGAUAAAACAUUCUAGAUAUCAAUCCAAAAAUGGUCAGAGGAGUAGAGAGUUUUACGAGAUUACUUUAGGGGGCACAGAAGCAAAAAAAAUUCUCAAGACAGCUACUCUAGGGUGGAAUUGCUGGAUCUUAAUGUAUUGAAGGUAUUAAUCUUUAUGGGAUAAAGUCAAGUUAUUUCACAGGAUGAUUGUACCAAUUUACACUCUCUCCAGAAAUCCAUUUUCUUUGCUAAUAGGUCACUUGAAUUUACUAAUGAGUUAGCUGAAUUUCCCAGGAGUAGGAAAACAUUUCUUUUUGCCAACUCUUCAGUGUUCAUGGAGCUCUGCUCCUUGGUUAAUGCCAAAGGCAAGAGCUUCAUCAAUUUUGACCUUCAUGUAUUCACCAAGUGUUUUUGCAACCCCCUAGCUUUGGUUUACACCGUUCCCUCCCCUGGGAUGCCCUCUCCAUCCACCUGCCACCAGUCUAUCACCUAUGCUUCCGGUCUGAUCUUAAAUGUCAUUUCUUCGGAAAGUCUUUCCACAACCAUGCUCCCUAAAGUUUCCUAAUUCUCCACCACAGAACCCUGUAGAGUUUAUACGAGUUAGGAAUGAUAUAUUUGCUUCUUUGCUCAUAUGUUAUCUAUCUCUUCCACUGGAUUGUAAGCCCCUUGAAGGCAAGAACUGUAUCUGUUUUAUUCACCUACCUAUGCCCUAUCAUUUAGUAUAGCUCCUGAUACAUAGCAAAAUCUCCAUAAAUAUCUACUAAAUAAACAAAUGAAUGAAUUUUUUUCAGACUGAAGCAGACAUCAUCCCUAAUCCAGUCAUUGGUGGCUUUGAGCAGGAUGUGGCAGGUGUUUCCACGAAUAAAAAAAUGGGCUCUGGUCCUGCUGUCACCACCCAGCACCCACCGAGUCUAUCCACAGCUUCUCUCACAGGCCAAGGGCCGCACCCCAGAUCUGGCCUGGCCUGGAAGGGUAAGUUUGUUCUCUUGCUUGAACUGGGACAUCCAUCUUCUCCUGUCCUCAGACAUCAGUGGUCCUGGUUCUCAGGCCUUUGGGUUUGAACCGGAACUUCCCCUUGGCUGUCCUGGGUCCCCACCUUGCAGAUAGCAAGUUGUAGGACUUGUGGCCGCCAUAACUGCAUGCGGCUUUCCCUCAUAAUGGAUCUUUUUCUUUUUUUUGAAAAAAAGUUUUUAUUUAUUUAUUCGAGAGAGCCAGCAUGAGUGGUGGGAGGGAUGGCGGGAGAGGGAGAAGCAGGCUUCCCUCUGAGCAGGGAGCCCAAUGUGGGACUCCAUCCCAGGACUCUGGGAUCAUCACCCGAGCCAAAGGCAGCUGCUUAACCACUGACUGAGCCCCCCCGAUGCCCCAAUCUUUGUCUGUGUUUAUGCCCUAUUACUCCUGUGUCUCUGGAGAACCCUAAGACAAGGACCAAGUAUUUCAGAAUCUGCCAGAUUUAGGUGUGCUUUCCCACACAGAUCCAGACUUUAUUUUGAUUUUUUAAAAAUUAUAAUUAGAUAGGAGUUAAGGGACACAAAAAGGCAGAUACUAGCCAGAAGGUUUCACCGUCUCUUUAUUUCUUGAAAUAAGAGCACCAAGAACCCUGGGUAUAACCUGCUCUCCUGCUCUCUGCUGGCAGGGAUCCAUAUGGUCUAGGGUUCAGAACUGGUUCUGCUCCCAUGGUCUCUGGGGACAGAGGAGAGAGGGGCUCUCCUCAUCUGCCCCUGAGCCACUAUAUGCACAAGCAGGAGAUCACUGUAAAGAAGCCAAAGUGUUUUUGAUGUGGGAAGGGGCUAGGAGAUGUCCUGGCCUCUUCUCUGCUUUCUUCAGAGACUGUGGGCUGAAUGGUGGUAUCUAUAACGAUUCCCUCAUCUCACAGGGAGCACUGAGACAGGGGUUAUUUCCCCAUAUUCUAUAAUAG
This is a long non-coding RNA of Vulpes vulpes (red fox), 1997 nucleotides long. Lineage: Eukaryota; Metazoa; Chordata; Mammalia; Carnivora; Canidae. The record is from Ensembl.